Non-coding RNA from Paramuricea clavata, 808 nucleotides. The record is from the annotation of a GenBank genome assembly. Lineage: Eukaryota; Metazoa; Cnidaria; Anthozoa; Malacalcyonacea; Plexauridae.
CCCUGUGAAAAAGGAAUACACAAUAUAAAAUUUUUCAGGAUUAACUUGUAAUGUAUGGUGAUGUUCAGCCCUGGCAAAUGACGUCACAGCGCUCAAAAUUUUGACGUAAUAGUGUGACUUCCACCAUUUUGGGUGGCAAAUGUUUAAAUCUAUAUUAAUGUACUGAGCACCUCGUGCAACCCAACAUACAGUACAUAGUAAUUUGGUAUUCCUGUAUAAUUUAAUUCAGCUCAGAAAGUGAGUUAUUAAAAAUUAGAAGACUGUUCUUAUCUUAGUUAACAAAACGAUUUACAGUAUAUGCAGGUUGAUUGAGGCAGAUCAUACAAUUUAUGGACAUUCCUAUACAUUUAACCAAUUUUAAAUUAUUCCCAGUAUCGACACCUAAAUUAUUCCCAGUAAUAACGUAGGGGGGGGAGGGGUGUGAUGGUUGUUCAAAGCUGGGUGAGCGUUAACCCUCGCCUAAUAUUUAACCUGUUCUCUCUGUUAAUGUAGAAAUAUUUCCCAAAUUAAGCUAAUUGGCUUUCGAACAACCGGCCCCUGAACUCUACUUCUAAGUAGUAAAUAAAAUAAUAAACACAACUUCCAACAGUCUCAGUAAUAACGUUUAGAUCUCUACUUCUAAGUAGAAAUUAAACUUCUAACAGUACUCUCAGUAAUAAUUUCCCAAAUUAAGCUAAUUGGCUUUCGAACAACCGGCCCCUGAACUCUACUUCUAAGUAGUAAAUAAAAUAAUAAACACAACUUCCAACAGUCUCACCUAAUAACGUUUAGAUCUCUACUUCUAAGUAGAAAUUAAACUUCUAACAGU